GUGGCAGUAGCUCAGUUGGUAGAGCUCCGGCUUGUGGUGCCGGCGGUCGCGGGUUCGAAUCCCGUCUGCCACC
This 73-nucleotide transfer RNA is filed under the name Solirubrobacterales bacterium. RNAcentral's name for it is "tRNA-His". It matches the Rfam family "tRNA". From Rfam's summary of the family: Transfer RNA (tRNA) molecules are approximately 80 nucleotides in length. The record is from RNAcentral. Lineage: Bacteria; Bacillati; Actinomycetota; Thermoleophilia; Solirubrobacterales. RNAcentral also lists the same sequence under 3 other names.